GAAGAAAUGACUGAGUGGCUAAAAGUAAUAGAUUGUAAAUCUAUAGGAAUUUUCCUACCGUAGGUUCGAAUCCUACUUUCUUCU
This 84-nucleotide transfer RNA is filed under the name Coscinodiscus wailesii. Its description in RNAcentral is "tRNA-Tyr". It matches the Rfam family "tRNA". From Rfam's summary of the family: Transfer RNA (tRNA) molecules are approximately 80 nucleotides in length. Their secondary structure includes four short double-helical elements and three loops (D, anti-codon, and T loops). Further hydrogen bonds mediate the characteristic L-shaped molecular structure. tRNAs have two regions of fundamental functional importance: the anti-codon, which is responsible for specific mRNA codon recognition, and the 3' end, to which the tRNAs corresponding amino acid is attached (by aminoacyl-tRNA synthetases). tRNAs cope with the degeneracy of the genetic code in two manners: having more than one tRNA (with a specific anti-codon) for a particular amino acid; and 'wobble' base-pairing, i.e. permitting non-standard base-pairing at the 3rd anti-codon position. Lineage: Eukaryota; Bacillariophyta; Coscinodiscophyceae; Coscinodiscales; Coscinodiscaceae. The record is from RNAcentral.